This 253-nucleotide ribosomal RNA is filed under the name uncultured bacterium. RNAcentral describes it as "partial 16S ribosomal RNA". It matches the Rfam family "Bacterial small subunit ribosomal RNA", at positions 524 to 776 of the family's 1533-position model. The record is from RNAcentral.
UACGGAGGAUGCAAGCGUUAUCCGGAAUUAUUGGGCGUAAAGCGUCCGUAGGUGGUUGAGUAAGUCUGCUGUUAAAGCGUGGAGCUUAACUCCAUACCGGCAGUGGAAACUACUGGACUAGAGUGCGGUAGGGGUCAGGGGAAUUCCCAGUGUAGCGGUGAAAUGCGUAGAUAUUGGGAAGAACACCGGUGGCGAAAGCGCCUGACUGGGCCUGCACUGACACUGAGGGAAGAAAGCUAGGGGAGCGAAAGGG